UACGAAGGGGGCUAGCGUUGUUCGGAUUUACUGGGCGUAAAGCGCACGUAGGCGGAUCGUUAAGUCGGGGGUGAAAUCCUGGAGCUCAACUCCAGAACUGCCUUCGAUACUGGCGAUCUUGAGUCCGGAAGAGGUGAGUGGAACUCCUAGUGUAGAGGUGGAAUUCGUAGAUAUUAGGAAGAGCACCAGUGGCGAAGGCGGCUCACUGGUCCGGUACUGACGCUGAGGUGCGAAAGCGUGGGGAGCAAACAGG
RNAcentral lists this ribosomal RNA (253 nucleotides) under uncultured bacterium. RNAcentral's name for it is "partial 16S ribosomal RNA". It matches the Rfam family "Bacterial small subunit ribosomal RNA", at positions 524 to 776 of the family's 1533-position model. The record is from RNAcentral.